GAAGAUAUGACAAAGAAACAAGCUUCGUUUUGUUUUCAGUUUUAAGAAAUGACGCCAACAUUGCAGGCUGAUGUAUCGAAUGAUUUUAUGUGAUAACUUGUAACUUGGCAGGUUUCCCUGGUGGCUCAGACAGUAAAGAAUCUGCCUGCAUGCGGGAGACCUGGGUUUGAUCCCUGGGUCGGGAAAAUCCCCUGGAGAAGGGAAUGGCAACCCACUCCAGUAUUCCUGCCUGAAGAAUCCCAUGGACAGAGGAGCCUGGUGGGCUACAUGGGGUCCAUGGGGUUGCAGAGUUGGACACAACUGAGCAACUUACUGCUAACACAAUUUGUUAAGAUUAACAUAUUUUACACCUUUUAUUUGUAGUAGUUGUUGUAAUCUUAAAGAUGAGCAGGAAAACUUCAUGUUUAUAUGCCUUCACAACAUUUUGGCAUUAAUCUCCCCUCUGCACUGUAAUCUUUGUGAUUGUUGUGGAUGUUUAGUGGGUAUUACUGAGGGUGACACAGAGUGUGUGAUAGAUUAUAUGCUAAGAUGGUCACCAGCAGCCCCUCCUAUUCCUACAUGAGUGCUGGCCUCUCCUCUAGAAGUGUAGUUUAUUUUCCUUUCUCUUAAAUCUGGGAUGACCUUGCUUUGUCCAAAAGAAUGGAACAGAAGUAAUAUUGCACCAAGCUUUGUGAAGCAUUGCAACUUGUACUUUCAUUCUUUUUGGAGCCCUCUGAGACACAGUAUAAACGAGUCCAUCUAUUCUGCUCAACAGAGAAGCCAUAAGAAGAGAAACAGUCCCAGACAUCCUGGGCCAUUUCAGCCACACUAGCUGGAGCUCCAGACAGGUAAGUGAAAACAUCUGAGAUCCUCCAGCCCAGGUGAGCCAUCCUAGCCAAGACUACACGGGACAAAGAGGAGCACCCUGCCCAAAUCCUGCCUAAUUUGGAGAAUUGUAGGCAAAAAUGUGGCUGCUGUUGUUGUUGUUAGCCACUCACUUUUGGCAUGGCUCCUUAUGCAGCAGUAGAUCCGAAGCGUGGUCUUCCCUGGGAAGAAUCCUAGCCUCAGAAGCACCCUAUCCAAGAGUAGUUUGUUUCCUUUGUCUCAUGUUUUUAUCUUCUGUCCUGAGCAACUUCCUCUUUAUUUCUUCAGUUACCACUCCACUAUCUGAUCUAUCCACUCUCCAUGGAUUUUCAAGGAAGAUCAGUGAUGUUGUGAAAAAGGUCUUGACCUUUGAUUGGUACCCUCAGAGAAGACUAUCAGUUCCUACUGCUGAGACUAAGGGCUGAACUGAGGAUGGCCUCCCCUCUGCUUAAGUCAGGCAAACACUACUGCUGUUCUCUUCUAGGUAUUUGAUCCCUGGGUCGAGGACAUCCCCUGGAGAAGGAGCCUGUAAAACCCCUUGGACAGAGGAGCCUGGUGAGCUAGGUCCAUGGGGUCACAAAGAGUUGGACAUGACUGAGCACACGCAUGCACAAUUAGCUACAUAGCCACUACUGCAAUUCAGUGGGAAACAAACGGUGCUGGAUCAACCGGAUAAACAUACAGGAAAACUAGUUUGAGAUGAAUCAUAAUCUUUUACAUGAAAAUAAAGCAAUCACACUUCUAGAAGAAAACA
Molecule: long non-coding RNA, 1597 nt
Organism: Bos indicus x Bos taurus (hybrid cattle)
Lineage: Eukaryota; Metazoa; Chordata; Mammalia; Artiodactyla; Bovidae
Source: Ensembl